CAGUACCAAGGUGCGUGAAGCCAUUGCCAGCUGCCUCCCUAAUCACAACUUGCAAGUUUUAGUACCUGUUUUGGAAAGAUUUGUGGCAUUUCAUCUGACACUAAACAUGAUAUCACCGGAAACACAUUCGGCUGUUGUCAAAGUAAUUGAAACUUGUAAAGCACCUUAGAGAAUGCAGAGAUCCUGUACAGUGCUAUUGAUCUCUCGCUCGACCUGGAAUUUCUUUUCGGUAAUGAUGCUUUGAGGAAAUGGGGUUGGGUUGGCUGCACAACCUCGGGGACUAGCAAAGAUCUGUAUUCUAAUUUGUUUGACCAGUUUCUUUUUUUUUUUCCCCUACAUUAUUUCCAUCCCUGUUUGGGUUACGGUGCAUUCCAUCUCCAUGCCCAGACCAGUGAAUGUACGAUGGUAGUAUAGGCAAGUGCAGUGUUCGUGCUUGGGUUCCUGUCGAAAUUGAAUCAAAUGAAUUUGUUGGCAGAUGUAGCUUUGAGUUAAAUGUUAUUCAACACUUCUUUGGUUUCCCUCUACGGUUGCCAGCAAAGGUAAUUCUAAAAUCUAUAUUCAGCAGAGUAUAAUUUUACAUCAAAA
Phoenix dactylifera (date palm) is the source of this 585-nucleotide non-coding RNA. Lineage: Eukaryota; Viridiplantae; Streptophyta; Magnoliopsida; Arecales; Arecaceae. The record is from RefSeq and is a predicted model, not a curated record.